AAAUUGACGGGGGCCCGCACAAGCGGCGGAGCAUGCGGAUUAAUUCGAUGCAACGCGAAGAACCUUACCAAGGCUUGACAUACACCGGUAACGCCCAGAGAUGGGUGCCCCUUUGUGGUCGGUGGACAGGUGGUGCAUGGGUUGUCGUCAGCUCGUGUCGUGAGAUGUUGGGUUAAGUCCCGCAACGAGCGCAACCCUCGUCCUAUGUUGCCAGCGGGUCAUGCCGGGGACUCAUGGGAGACUGCCGGGGUCAACUCGGAGGAAGGUGGGAUGACGUCAAAUCAUCAUGCCCCUUAUGUCUUGGGCUUCACGCAUGCUACAAUGGCCGGUACAAAGGGCUGCGAUACCGCGAGGUGGAGCGAAUCCCAGAAAGCCGGUCUCAGUUCGGAUUGGGGUCUGCAACUCGACCCCAUGAAGUCGGAGUCGCUAGUAAUCGCAGAUCAGCAACGCUGCGGUGAAUACGUUCCCGGGCCUU
RNAcentral lists this ribosomal RNA (475 nucleotides) under uncultured Cellulomonas sp. Its description in RNAcentral is "bacterial SSU rRNA". It matches the Rfam family "Bacterial small subunit ribosomal RNA", at positions 908 to 1382 of the family's 1533-position model. Lineage: Bacteria; Bacillati; Actinomycetota; Actinomycetes; Micrococcales; Cellulomonadaceae. The record is from RNAcentral.